CUUUCCAGAGAUGGAUUGGUGCCCGAAAGGGAGCCUGGACACAGGUGCUGCAUGGCUGUCGUCAGCUCGUGUCGUGAGAUGUUGGGUUAAGUCCCGCAACGAGCGCAACCCUUGUCAUUAAUUGCCAUCAUUCAGUUGGGCACUUUAAUGAGACUGCCGGUGACAAACCGGAGGAAGGUGGGGAUGACGUCAAGUCCUCAUGGCCCUUAUGGGUAGGGCUUCACACGUCAUACAAUGGUCGGUACAGAGGGUUGCCAAGCCGCGAGGUGGAGCCAAUCCCAGAAAGCCGAUCGUAGUCCGGAUCGCAGUCUGCAACUCGACUGCGUGAAGUCGGAAUCGCUAGUAAUCGCGGAUCAGCAUGUCGCGGUGAAUACGUUCCCGGGUCUUGUACACACCGCCCGUCACACCAUGGGAGUGGGUUCUACCAGAAGUAGUUAGCCUAACCGUAAGGAGGGCGAUUACCACGGUAGGAUUCAUGACUGGGGUGAAGUCGUAACAAG
Molecule: ribosomal RNA, 500 nt
Filed under: uncultured Azospira sp.
Lineage: Bacteria; Pseudomonadati; Pseudomonadota; Betaproteobacteria; Rhodocyclales; Rhodocyclaceae
Description: bacterial SSU rRNA
Rfam family: Bacterial small subunit ribosomal RNA
Source: RNAcentral